This 1573-nucleotide ribosomal RNA is filed under the name Salmonella enterica. RNAcentral describes it as "partial 23S ribosomal RNA". It matches the Rfam family "Bacterial large subunit ribosomal RNA", at positions 583 to 2141 of the family's 2925-position model. RNAcentral also lists the same sequence under 1 other name. Lineage: Bacteria; Pseudomonadati; Pseudomonadota; Gammaproteobacteria; Enterobacterales; Enterobacteriaceae. The record is from RNAcentral.
CUUUGGGGUGUGACUGCGUACCUUUUGUAUAAUGGGUCAGCGACUUAUAUUCUGUAGCAAGGUUAACCGUAUAGGGGAGCCGGAGGGAAACCGAGUCUUAAUUGGGCGUUAAGUUGCAGGGUAUAGACCCGAAACCCGGUGAUCUAGCCAUGGGCAGGUUGAAGGUUGGGUAACACUAACUGGAGGACCGAACCGACUAAUGUUGAAAAAUUAGCGGAUGACCUGUGGCUGGGGGUGAAAGGCCAAUCAAACCGGGAGAUAGCUGGUUCUCCCCGAAAGCUAUUUAGGUAGCGCCUCGUGAAUUCAUCUCCGGGGGUAGAGCACUGUUUCGGCUAGGGGGCCAUCCCGGCUUACCAACCCGAUGCAAACUGCGAAUACCGGAGAAUGUUAUCACGGGAGACACACGGCGGGUGCUAACGUCCGUCGUGAAGAGGGAAACAACCCAGACCGCCAGCUAAGGUCCCAAAGUCAUGGUUAAGUGGGAAACGAUGUGGGAAGGCCCAGACAGCCAGGAUGUUGGCUUAGAAGCAGCCAUCAUUUAAAGAAAGCGUAAUAGCUCACUGGUCGAGUCGGCCUGCGCGGAAGAUGUAACGGGGCUAAACCAUGCACCGAAGCUGCGGCAGCGACACUGUGUGUUGUUGGGUAGGGGAGCGUUCUGUAAGCCUGUGAAGGUGUGUCGUGAGGCAUGCUGGAGGUAUCAGAAGUGCGAAUGCUGACAUAAGUAACGAUAAAGCGGGUGAAAAGCCCGCUCGCCGGAAGACCAAGGGUUCCUGUCCAACGUUAAUCGGGGCAGGGUGAGUCGACCCCUAAGGCGAGGCCGAAAGGCGUAGUCGAUGGGAAACGGGUUAAUAUUCCCGUACUUGGUGUUACUGCGAAGGGGGGACGGAGAAGGCUAUGUUGGCCGGGCGACGGUUGUCCCGGUUUAAGCGUGUAGGUGUGUGUUCCAGGUAAAUCCGGUUCACUUUAACACUGAGGCGUGACGACGAGGCACUACGGUGCUGAAGCAACAAAUGCCCUGCUUCCAGGAAAAGCCUCUAAGCAUCAGGUAACAUCAAAUCGUACCCCAAACCGACACAGGUGGUCAGGUAGAGAAUACCAAGGCGCUUGAGAGAACUCGGGUGAAGGAACUAGGCAAAAUGGUGCCGUAACUUCGGGAGAAGGCACGCUGACACGUAGGUGAAGUGAUUUACUCAUGGAGCUGAAGUCAGUCGAAGAUACCAGCUGGCUGCAACUGUUUAUUAAAAACACAGCACUGUGCAAACACGAAAGUGGACGUAUACGGUGUGACGCCUGCCCGGUGCCGGAAGGUUAAUUGAUGGGGUCAGCGCAAGCGAAGCUCCUGAUCGAAGCCCCGGUAAACGGCGGCCGUAACUAUAACGGUCCUAAGGUAGCGAAAUUCCUUGUCGGGUAAGUUCCGACCUGCACGAAUGGCGUAAUGAUGGCCAGGCUGUCUCCACCCGAGACUCAGUGAAAUUGAACUCGCUGUGAAGAUGCAGUGUACCCGCGGCAAGACGGAAAGACCCCGUGAACCUUUACUAUAGCUUGACACUGAACAUUGAGCCUUGAUGUGUAG